Molecule: ribosomal RNA, 1349 nt
Filed under: metagenome
Description: SSU rRNA
Rfam family: Eukaryotic small subunit ribosomal RNA
Source: RNAcentral
UAUGAGAAACGGCUACCACAUCUAAGGAAGGCAGCAGGCGCGUAAAUUACCCAAUCCUGACUCAGGGAGGUAGUGACAAGAAAUAGCAAACCGGGAACCUCAUGGUUUCACGGUAUUGCAAUGAGAACAAUUUAAAACCCUUAGCGAGAAUCAAGUGGAGGACAAGUCUGGUGCCAGCACCCGCGGUAAUUCCAGCUCCACUAGCGUAUAUUAAAGUUGUUGCAGUUAAAAAGCUCGUAGUUGAACCUCUGUCUGGGGCUAGUUUUGGCUUUGGUCAGGCUAGUUCUAGGCAUCCGCCUACAAGACUUAGAGGGCAUUCAGUUGUUCACUAGGAGGAGUAGGCAUUUUACUUUGAAAAAAUUAGAGUGUUUAAGGCAGGCAAUCGCCCGCAUAUAUUAGCAUGGAAUAAUAGAAUAGGACACUUUUCCAUUUCGUUGGUUAUUGGAAUCGUGUAAUGAUUAAUAGGGACAGUUGUGGGCAUUUGUAUUUAAUUGUCAGAGGUGAAAUUCUUGGAUUUAUUAAAGACAAACUAACGCGAAAGCAUUUGCCAAGGAUGUUUUCAUUAAUCAAGAACGAAAGUUAGGGGAUCAAAGACGAUCAGAUACCGUCCUAGUCUUAACUAUAAACUAUUCCGACUCAAUGUUUGACUGGCUUAUAUAACCAGUUGAGCGUUGUAUGAGAAAUCAAAGUCUUUAGGUUCUGGGGGGAGUAUGGUUGCAAAGCUGAAACUUAAAGGAAUUGACGGAAGAGCACAACCAGGGGUGGAUUCUGCGGCUUAAUUUGACUCAACACGGGGAAACUUACCAGGUUAAAACAAUAGUGGGAUUGACAGUUUGAGAGCGCUUUCUUGAUUGGUUGGGUGGUGGUGCAUGGCCGUUCUUAGUUGGUGGAGUGAUUUGUCUGCUUAAUUGCGUUAACGAACGAGACCUUAACCUGCUUACUAGACUGGCGAUCAUCAAUCGUUAGCUCUUCUUAGAGGGACUUUGGUUGUUUUAACUCCAAGGAAGUUUGAGGCAAUAACAGGUCUGUGAUGCCCUUAGAUAUCCUGGGCCGCACGCGUCAUACAAUGACUAGUUCAGAAAGUUUUCUCCUGACCCGAAAGGGGAUGGGUAAUCUUGAUAAUACUAGUCGUGUUAGGGAUCGAUCUUUGCAAUUAUAGAUCUUGAACGAGGAAUUCCUAGUAAGUGCGGUUCAUCAGACCGUACUGAUUACGUCCCUGCUCUUUGUACACACCGCCCGUCGCUUCUACCGAGUGGGUGGUCCGGUGAGAUAAUUGAACUUCGCAGGUAACUGAGAGGAAAGAUUAUCAAACCUAUCCACCUCGAGGAAGAAGAAGUCGUAACAAGGUU